This 782-nucleotide long non-coding RNA is filed under the name Cavia porcellus (domestic guinea pig). RNAcentral's name for it is "lncRNA (ENSCPOG00000039725.1)". The record is from RNAcentral. Lineage: Eukaryota; Metazoa; Chordata; Mammalia; Rodentia; Caviidae.
GUCAGAGGAUGGAGAUGGCAAAUCAGUGUACCCUGACUGGUCCCUUCAGCUGGAGGGAUGAAGAGGCAAGGGUCAAGAUGCCACAGAGAAAGUGAAGCGGCAGGAUGCAGUGGAAGAGAGGGAACUGUGUUGAUGUACAGAGAGCACUUUGGUGGCCUUCAGCAGUGCUGGUGACCCUUGAAAAAAGCAUCAUAUCCAGAUGUCCACCAUGAUGACCACAUAUACCAGAAGAAUAAUAGGACCAGUCGCUUCUGUUGACCUUACAGAAAGCCCUUGGACGGAAGUCCACACUCACUGCCAUCCCUAUUGUGGUACCGCGCAGCCCCGAUCCCAGGACUGAGAUGGAUAUGGUACCAUUCACAGAAGAAGUGUGCUCUGGGAUGAAAGAGCAUGAAGUGCAGGUUGCCCCCUGCAGCUCCAGUUCAGGGAGACCCAUAGCAGCCCUUGGCUCUCUGGACAAGUUGCCGGAAAGUGAGAUUCCAGAAGAGGAGGAGGAGGGAAUAGAAGAGCCAGCACCGGCCACCAGCAGUGUGAGUGCAGAGCACCAGCACUGUGAUGAGGAGGAAGACAUCCUUCAGGCCUCCCAAGGUAAAGAGCACAAGACUUCCCCCACUGCCUGUGAGGCUGGUGACAACCAGCAGCCUCCGGUGCCACUGCAGCCCAGGUGGAUGAGGCUGAGGCGCCUUCUCCACAGGCCCUGGAAGAUCAGAAUCACCUGGAUUUUGAAGAUGCCCUGGAGCCAGUGGCCACCAGGUUUGCCACUGAAAGUUUCACAUGUUUGA